AGUCCUAGCCGUAAACGAUGGAAACUUCGUUUUGGGCAAUAAAAAGUUCAGAAUGGGAGCUAACGCGUUAAGUUUCCCGCCUGGGAAGUAUGCUCGCAAGAGUGAAACUCAAAGGAAUUGACGGGAGCCCGCACAAGCGGUGGAUUAUGCGGUUUAAUUCGAUGCAACACGAAGAACCUUACCAGGGCUUGACAUGUCACGAAAGAAGAUGAAAGUUUUCUGUGCAAAGCGUAAGCAAUGAAUGUGAACACAGGUGGUGCAUGGCUGUCGUCAGCUCGUGUCGUAAGAUGUUGUGUUAAGUCACGCAACGAGCGCAACCCUCGUGCUUUGUUGAAUUUCUCAAAGCAGACUGCUGGUGAUAAAUCAGAGGAAGGUGAGGAUGAUGUCAAGUCAGCAUGCCCCUUACGCCCUGGGCUACACGCGUAAUACAAUGGUCAAUACAAAGAGAUGCAACGGGGCGACCCCGAGCAAACCUCAAAAAGUUGAUCUCAGUUCAGAUUGCAGACUGCAACUCGUCUGCAUGAAGGUGGAAUCGCUAGUAAUCGCCGGUCAGCUAUACGGCGGUGAAUCCGUUCCCGGGCUUUGUACACACCGCCCGUCACACCAUGGAAGCUGACUAUGCCCAAAGUCGU
Molecule: ribosomal RNA, 632 nt
Filed under: uncultured cyanobacterium
Lineage: Bacteria; Bacillati; Cyanobacteriota
Description: bacterial SSU rRNA
Rfam family: Bacterial small subunit ribosomal RNA
Source: RNAcentral